GGUUCUUCUAGAACGCAGUGGAGAUAGCUAGAUUGAUUGGGACAUCUGAAGCCAAUCAAGGGCUGGCUGGAACUAGUUAAAAGCCUCCCCGUUGGUCAGUGAGGUGUAGAUGUCAGGAGCUAUAGGAGGGAGCUGUGCUGUUGGAGGAAUGAAGCGGUACAAAUCCAUAUCAGGUGUAAGGAAGGAGGCCCUGAGAGAGAGAAGGGCUACGUGGAGGGUCGUAGUGAGCCUCUGAGGCUAGCAAAAUCCGCCAGGAAACGCAGGACCGACGGAGUCAAGGACAGAACUUUGUCACAAUAUGUUAUCUGGUUAACAACCUCAGGUCUACAAUACCCGCCAGAUCAGCAGGCAGUGAUCGAUCCAGCGGGGGUCGAUUUAUCAUGUCUAGACUAGAUGCGAUAAAUCGACCCCCGAGCGCUCUCCAGUUGACUCCUGUACUCCUCCGCAAGAGGCGCAGGCGGAGUCGACGA
Molecule: long non-coding RNA, 470 nt
Organism: Mauremys mutica (yellowpond turtle)
Lineage: Eukaryota; Metazoa; Chordata; Testudines; Geoemydidae
Exons: 3
Source: RefSeq, a predicted model, not a curated record